UCUUUCUUUUUUUCCCUCUCUUAAUUUCUUUCUUUCUUUCCUUCCUUCUUUCUUUCUUUCUUUUUUCUUGGUCUCAGCCAUGUGGACGUGAUGGGGAAUGGAGGGAAGUCGUGACAGCAGGCUGCUCAGGCGGCGGACUGGCAUUCCAGGCAGGCUGUGGCUGAGCCAGCGUGCGCCUCAGUCCUCCGCAGCUCCGCCGGCGGGAAGGUGGAGCCAGCCGCUUCUCCCCGAAUAACUGGGAGAUGAAACAGGAAGCUCUAUGACACAGUUGAUCGAAAAUGACACAGACACAGAAAAAUCAGGACUCGGCCCCCUCCAGUGCCUCUACCUGCUGCCCACAGCCGGAGUGCAGAUGGCAAAGUAAGAAGCAGAAGGGGAAAGGACUUGGCUGCCAGCAGCUUCCCCAUCCUUUAUGGAUUGGAUCUGUAAAGGAGACUCUCAGAAGCUGUAGUUAUUUCAAGCUAUGAUGACCCGUUUUGAGUUCAUUUUUCUACAUGGCAUGAGGUGAUGCCGAGCGGCUCUUCGGGUGCCUGAGGGCCAUUCCUACAGGAGCCCCAUGCCUACAGCUCGCCAGUUCCCAUCCUUCGCCCAUUUGUCGAUGUGCGGCCUUUUCAUGAUGGAUAGGAAUCUGUGUACAUUGGGGAUAGUCACACUUUGCCUGUGAUAUUAGUCAAAGUAGUUUUUCCCAGUUUGACAUUUGCCUUUUGGGCUGGUUUAUGGUAGGGUUGGUCCCAGAGAGAAAACUUGAUUUUUAUAUCGUCGUUUUCAUCAAUUUUUUUCUGUUUGGGGUUUUAUGUUUUGUGUUUGUGCUACAGCAUUCCUCCUUCUGAUGUGAAAAGGCAGGCCCCGGGGGCCUGAAGGGGAGCAUUCAGGCUGCUUGCCCUGCCUAAAAGUCCAGACACUUGGGCUGUGAGGGAAGGAACCCAACUCGGAGUAGCUGGGAAAGAAAUGUACGGGUCACCGCAAAAAGUGCAGGACUGGCUUGACUCUGAUGUCAACAGGACUAGGUCUGAGUCACCCCGUCUCUCUUGAGGGGGGCUCUCCACCAGGGGUGGCUUGAGCUGGCUGCUAGCCGCUUAGCUCAAAGACUGUCCUCUCAGCAGCCCAGGUGACAGACAUGGGAGUGGCGUGACGGGACCAUCUGCCCAUCCUGGACUGGUCACUGGACAUGGGGUGUGCUGGUUCGUGGUUCCGGGUCACUGGUCCAGGCAGUCCUCCAAACUGGUCCUGGAAGGAUGUUGGUGCCGGAGAAGGGGGAGCAGAUCCUGAAUGGAGGUCACGGCGGGUGUGCCUCACGCCGUGUUCUUUCCCUGACCUUCUACACCUUCGUUCUUCUUUCCUGGAAGUAUAAGAUACAGCUGUUGUCCCGCUGAACUUGCCACCCUGGCCAAGCGAUGUCACUUCAAGCCUGAGAUGAAGAUGUUGUGAAGCUUAACUAAAAUAACAGACCUCAAGUGUCUGUCACCUUGUGCCCAGCAACUCACUGCUCAUUGGCUCAACUAGGUUAAAAGAUUCUGAUCACAGUGCCCCAGGACAGAAAGAGCUCGCCUCCCUCUGCAGCUCCAGGUAUGACCCAGCAGCAGAGGAAAACAACAAGAAGAAGGAGGAGAAGAAAGAGAAAGAGGACAAAGGGAGGGGAAAGGAGAAGGAGAAAAAUGAAGAGAAGGAAGAGGAAGAAGAAAAUUGGCAGGUGAAAGACAGGCAGGAAGAGCCAGUAAGAGGCCAAAUUACACCAUCAUAAGACCCCGUGAUGGCCCAAGGACAGCCUAUUAUAAGCUGCAGCCACCGGGGUAAAAAGAAUCUGAGGACUCUGCCCCCCUAGCUGAAGGAGGUACAAAUGGAGACCAGACCCUUUGAACAUUAAAUCCUCUCCCCUUGCCCAGCCUCUGUGACAAUUCUCAUUGAAAAUAACCCAGAAAUAAGUUUUGAUGGCAUGUGUUGCUAUGCAAAUGCACCCACAUUUGCAUUUUUCGUUCUGAAUAAUAUUUUACUAGUGAACCUCUCUCAGGCCAUUACCCUAUUUCUAUUCUCUCAUUUACUAAUUUUAUCCAGGAGGUAAAUUGUGCCCAACUAAGUAAGAGACUACGUUUUUCAGGCCCUUUGCUGGUCACUGCAGCCAUGUGACUAAUUUCUAACCAAUGAGAUAUAAGCAGAAGUAUGGGAUUUAUGAGAAAGUAAGUUAAAAGGAACUAGCUCAGGGUGCCUGGGUGGCUCAGCUGAGUGACUGCCUUCAGCUCAGUUCAUGACCCUGGGGU
Long non-coding RNA from Neogale vison (American mink), 2255 nucleotides. RefSeq lists it as uncharacterized. The transcript is spliced from 6 exons. The record is from RefSeq and is a predicted model, not a curated record. NCBI's taxonomy places the organism in Eukaryota, Metazoa, Chordata, Mammalia, Carnivora, Mustelidae.